RNAcentral lists this ribosomal RNA (252 nucleotides) under uncultured bacterium. RNAcentral's name for it is "partial 16S ribosomal RNA". It matches the Rfam family "Bacterial small subunit ribosomal RNA", at positions 524 to 776 of the family's 1533-position model. The record is from RNAcentral.
UACGGAGGAUGCGAGCGUUAUCCGGAUUUAUUGGGUUUAAAGGGUGCGUAGGCGGACUGUCAAGUCAGCGGUAAAAUUGAGAGGCUUAACCUCUUCCCGCCGUUGAAACUGGUGGUCUUGAGUGGAUGAGAAGUACGCGGAAUGCGUGGUGUAGCGGUGAAAUGCAUAGAUAUCACGCAGAACUCCGAUUGCGAAGGCAGCGUACCGGCAUCCAACUGACGCUGAGGCUCGAAAGCGUGGGGAGCAAACAGG